UACGUAGGGACCAAGCGUUGUUCGGAUUUACUGGGCGUAAAGGGCGCGUAGGCGGCGUGUUAAGUCAGCUGUGAAAUCUCCAAGCUUAACUUGGAACGGUCAGCCGAUACUGAUGUGCUAGAGUGCAGAAGGGGCAAUCGGAAUUCUUGGUGUAGCGGUGAAAUGCGUAGAUAUCAAGAGGAACACCUGAGGUGAAGACGGGUUGCUGGGCUGACACUGACGCUGAGGCGCGAAAGCUAGGGUAGCAAACGGG
RNAcentral lists this ribosomal RNA (253 nucleotides) under uncultured bacterium. RNAcentral describes it as "partial 16S ribosomal RNA". It matches the Rfam family "Bacterial small subunit ribosomal RNA", at positions 524 to 776 of the family's 1533-position model. The record is from RNAcentral.